Ictidomys tridecemlineatus (thirteen-lined ground squirrel) is the source of this 73-nucleotide non-coding RNA. The record is from Rfam. Lineage: Eukaryota; Metazoa; Chordata; Mammalia; Rodentia; Sciuridae.
UGGGUUGUGGCUCAGUGGUGGAGCACUUGCCUAGCCAUGUAUGAGGCACUGGGUUUGAUUCUCAGCACCACAU